GACGAACGCUGGCGGCGUGCUUAACACAUGCAAGUCGAACGGAAAGGCCCUGCGUUUGUGGGGUGCUCGAGUGGCGAGCGGGUGAGUAACACGUGAGUAACCUGCCCCUGUCUUUGGGAUAACAUCAGGAAACAGGGGCUAAUACCGGAUAGGAGCUCCUGAUGCGUGUGGGGGUUGGGAAGAUGCGGCGGUUGGGGUUGGUUAGGGGGGUUACCAGGCUGCUGGAGGGGGAGUGGAAUACAAAGGCUUUGACGGGUAGCCGGCCAGAGAGGUCGACCGGGCACAUUGCGACUACGGUACGGCCCAGACUCCUACGUGACGCAGCAGGCGGAAAUAUUGCACAAUGGGCCGAAGCCUGAUACAGCAACCCCGCGUUCGGGAUGCCGGCCUUCUGGUUGUGAACCUCUUUCGCCUGUGACGAACCGAGAGUGACGGUAAUUGGUAAAGAAGCACCGGCUAACUACGUG
RNAcentral lists this ribosomal RNA (467 nucleotides) under uncultured bacterium. Its description in RNAcentral is "partial 16S ribosomal RNA". It matches the Rfam family "Bacterial small subunit ribosomal RNA", at positions 28 to 507 of the family's 1533-position model. The record is from RNAcentral.